RNAcentral lists this ribosomal RNA (440 nucleotides) under uncultured bacterium. RNAcentral describes it as "partial 16S ribosomal RNA". It matches the Rfam family "Bacterial small subunit ribosomal RNA", at positions 338 to 795 of the family's 1533-position model. The record is from RNAcentral.
CCUACGGUGGUCUGCAGUGGGGAAUAUUGCACAAUGGGGGAAACCCUGCUGCAGCGACGCCGCGUGAAUGAAGCAGUAUUUCGGUAUGUAAACUUCUAUCAGCAUGGAAGAAAAUGACGGUACCUGACUAAGAAACCCCGGCUAACUACGUGCCAGCAGCCGCGGUAAUACGUAGGUGGCAAGCUGUCGCCGGAUUUACUGGGUGUAAAGGGGGCGUAGGCGGCGAUGCAAGUCAGAAGUGAAAGCCCGGGGCUCAACUCCGGGACUGCUUUUGAAACUGUGUUGCUAGAUUGCAGGAGAGGUAAGUGGAAUCCCUGGUGUAGCGGUGAAAUGCGUAGAUAUUAGGAGGAACACCAGUGGCGAAGGCGGCUUACUGGACUGUAAAUGACGCUGAGGUUCGAAAGCGUGGGGAGCAAACAGGAUUAGAUACCCCAGUAGUC